RNAcentral lists this long non-coding RNA (965 nucleotides) under Equus asinus (donkey). RNAcentral's name for it is "lncRNA (ENSEASG00005037957.1)". Lineage: Eukaryota; Metazoa; Chordata; Mammalia; Perissodactyla; Equidae. The record is from RNAcentral.
CUGCCGUUCUGCCCUGCUGAAUUUGGGGAAAACAAGGCUGUACGCUUCUCCAUCGUGAGGCCAUGGCUGCUGCUCCCUCCUCUCCUCAUGGUCAGGCCAGCCCUUGUGGCCCACGGCCACAGUGCCCACCCAGGCAGGAGACCCCAGAGCAGAGUAAGGAAACCCAAUGUGCCUUUGAGAGAACCGUUUAGAAACUGCCCUCAACUGUCUUUAAAGCUGGAGAAGACCCUGAAGGUCACCCAAGUUCCUGAGGAUGCUGGGGGCAGGACCACCAUCAACAGGAGCGAGCAGCUGGAGGGACGGGAGGCAGCAUUGGGGACCACACGUCCCCCAUCUGUUACAGACCCACGGGUGCUUCCAGCCCCCAAAGGACGCUGUCCUUGGUAAGUGUCUCAAAACUAAGUUUCCUUAAGAAAAGAAGUUGGGAAUGUGAGCUUCUUUCGUGACAUCGUCAGGCUCAGGGGACUGCCUGCCUUCUCACCCAGACGGAGGCAGGACUGCCCCCAGUUAGCUCUGGGCUGGUAUGGGCAGGAUGGAAUGCACCACCAGGCUGGGCCAGCACCUGCAUGUCCUGCUCCCAGGAGACCCCACAACUGUGGGUGACUCUUCAGGGCCUGCUGGUCCAACCGAGGCAGCUGGGGCGGGGCACCCUGUCAGGCCUCUUCCUUGAGCUUCCGUCCUCGGUGACCUCUGAGGAAGGUGGAAAGUGGAGGGGGAGCAGGUGGUCUGAGCAGGCAGCUUCCUGGCAGGAAGUGGGGCUGCGGAGGCCCCACCCCUUUCUGGCACCUUCUGCCCACUCUGCCAGCGAGUCACAUCCCGGAAGGCCGUCCCCGGCCACUGUCUCAUCAUUCCUCAACGCGGACGUGGUCAGGACAAGGUGAUGGAGCCCAGGCAUUCGGACUCUACUCGGGUGGGACUGGAGCCAGCCCCCGUGAAAGGACCCUCUGACACCGGGAGGGGUUCGG